GUAUAAAAUGUACAUACAAUAAUGAAACAAAAUCUGUAUGGCGGCGGGCGGGAUGGAGAGAGGGAGAGAGAAAGAGUUUCGACCGCCUUUUUGCACAAGAAACGCGCACAUUCUGCAAUUGUGAAAGUGCUAAACCUCAAGCCUUAGGUAAAGCAAGAAGAACCCAGAACAGAACCAGAUCUGAAGCUAUGCAUGGAGACUGCCUUGGCCAUCAUGGAGACCGGAUUAACCGUCAUAGAAACAAGACUGUCAGUUGUGCAAACCAUUAAAAUAAUUCGAUUUUGGAUUAUUAAAGAGAUUGAAGACGAGGAUGAGAUGCUCAUAAAUACUGAACUAUCAGGUGAGUCUUUACAAACGUGCCCUGCAAAGGAUGCAGUGUUCAAGGAACCAAAGCCAGUGGUGCAAGAGGAAGAGGAAGAGGAAGAGGAAGAGG
Molecule: long non-coding RNA, 433 nt
Organism: Amblyraja radiata (thorny skate)
Lineage: Eukaryota; Metazoa; Chordata; Chondrichthyes; Rajiformes; Rajidae
Exons: 3
Source: RefSeq, a predicted model, not a curated record